Molecule: transfer-messenger RNA, 80 nt
Filed under: Nitrobacter winogradskyi Nb-255
Lineage: Bacteria; Pseudomonadati; Pseudomonadota; Alphaproteobacteria; Hyphomicrobiales; Nitrobacteraceae
Description: transfer-messenger RNA Nitro_winog_Nb255
Rfam family: Alphaproteobacteria transfer-messenger RNA
About the family: Bacterial tmRNA, also known as 10Sa RNA or SsrA, is named for its dual tRNA and mRNA-like properties.
Source: RNAcentral
GCCGGUUCGCCGGCUAUGGAAAUAAAUGGCCGCCGCAAUAAACCAUUCGGACCCGGGGGCAGUACCCGGCGCCUCCACCA